This is an RNA transcript of Alnus glutinosa, 3283 nucleotides long. It is a transcript of the gene named pentatricopeptide repeat-containing protein At4g20090, with no coding region annotated. The record is from RefSeq and is a predicted model, not a curated record. The transcript is spliced from 5 exons. Lineage: Eukaryota; Viridiplantae; Streptophyta; Magnoliopsida; Fagales; Betulaceae.
AAAAAAAUACCCUCUUUGGUUUUCCCUUUCAAGAGACUACCCACAAACAGAACCUGUCUUUCUACAGAAGUGCCGCACGGCUCCACAACCCAGAACACCCGCCACGCACGGACAGAACCAGCGCACCGCCUAAGCUCCAGCCCAACACAGGAAAACCACCCCCGACCCACAACCCAUCACUGCUUGGAACCACCACAAAACUGCCACCCAUAGCCGUGAAGCAUCAUCAGCCCGAGCCCAUAAAAUCACCGUUUUUGGCCAAACCGGCACAGAUAUGGCCGCUCCACUGGGAAGCAACGCCAGAUAUGGAGCUCCGUUCAAGCCCGUCUACUUGGAAGAAGGUACCUCUUUUGUUGUCUCAGCAAGAAAUUUUGUGUGAUCGAGUCUUUCCCUCUGUUUUCUUCUUAGAAGUUGAGCUCUCUCCAAAUCUCUCAAAACCCAUCUCCGAUUUUCAUCCAUUAUUGCUUCUUUUCACCUAAAUCAAGCUCCCGUAUAUAUAUAUAUAUAUAUAUACCUAUAGCUUCAAUCCAAUAAUACCCAUGCCAAAAUGCUCAACAUUUCGCACAGAGCUCCUCUGCAACUCAAUCAGGAGAGUCCUCAAGCUGGACCUCUCUUCAAUCCCAUGUAAGUUCCCUACACUGCUUCACUCUCACUUCUCAGGUAUCACCGUUCCAUCACACAAAACCUCUGAAACUGAGCCCCCAAUACCUGAUGAAAUCUUCAAGUCGAGUCCCAAAUUGGGUUCUUACCAGUUGGGUGAUUCCACUUUCUAUUCACUCAUUGAGAACUAUGCCGAGUCUGGUGAUUUUUGGUCGUUAGAGAAGGUUUUAGAUCGAAUGAAACGCGAAAACCGAAGGUUUAUUGAGAAAAGUUUUGUUGUUAUUUUUCGAGCUUAUGGGAAAGCGCAUUUACCCGAAAAAGCUGUUGAAUUGUUUGAUAGAAUGUUGUGUGAGUUUCAAUGUAGGAGGACUGUGAAGUCGUUUAACUCAGUGCUUAAUGUAAUUAUACAAGAAGGUUGUUUUUCUCGGGCACUAGAGUUUUAUUCGCGUAUUACGGGCAGUGGGAAUGCGAAUAUUUCACCCAAUGUGCUUACUUUCAAUUUGGUUAUAAAGGCUUUGUGUAAGUUGGGAUUGGUUAAUAGAGCAGUUGAGAUGUUUAGAGAAAUGCCAGUUAGGAAAUGCAUUCCCGAUGUGUUCACGUAUAGUACAUUGAUGGAUGGGUUGUGCAGGGAGAAUAGGAUUGAUGAGGCAGUUUCACUGUUGGAUGAGAUGCAAAUUGAAGGGUGUUUUCCGAGUGCUACAACAUUUAAUGUGUUGAUCAACGCGAUGUGCAAGAAGGGUGACUUGGCACGUGCCUCAAAGCUCGUUGAUAAUAUGUUUCUCAAAGGAUGUGUUCCUAAUGAAGUGACUUAUAACACUCUCAUCCAUGGUUUGUGCCUCAAGGGCAAAUUGGAGAAGGCAGUGAGUCUAUUGGAUCGAAUGGUAUCGAGUAAAUGUGUGCCUAACGAUGUCACAUAUGGAACAAUCAUCAAUGGGCUUGUCAAGCAAGGAAGAGCUGUUGAUGGGGUUCAUGUGCUGAUCUCUAUGAAGGAGAGAGGGAACUGUGCAAAUGAGUAUGUUUAUUCAGCGCUUGUUAGCGGGUUUUUUAGGGAGGGAAAGACUGAAGAGGCAAUGAAAUUGUGGAAGGAGAUGAUGGAAAGGGGAUGUAAACCGAAUAAUGUUGUUUAUAGUGCUCUUAUAGAUGGUCUGUGCCGAGAAGGAAAGCUGGAUGAAGCAAAAGAAGUUCUGUCUGAGAUGGUGAAUGAGGGUUGCGUGCCCAAUGCUUUCACUUAUAGCUCCUUAAUGAAGGGUUUCUUUAAAACGGGUGAUAGCCAUAAAGCAAUUCUUGUGUGGAAAGAGAUGGCAGACAAUAACUGUACCCAUAAUGAGGUUUGUUACAGUGUACUUAUUCAUGGCUUAUGUGAGGAUGGGAAGCUUAGGGAUGCCUUGAUGGUGUGGAAGCAGAUGUUGGGCAAGGGAUUUAAACCUGAUGUUGUGGCUUACAGUUCAAUGAUUCAUGGCCUUUGCAAUGCGGGCUUGGUAGAGCAGGGUUUGAAACUUUUCAAUGAAAUGCUUUGUCAAGAGCCUGAAUCUCAACCAGAUGUAAUCACUUAUAACAUAAUUUUCAGUGGUUUGUGCAAGCAGAGUGACAUCUCCCAUGCCAUUGAUCUUUUAAACAGUAUGCUGGAUCAGGGUUGUGAUCCUGACUUAGUUACAUGCAAUAUUUUUUUGAGAACUUUAAGAGAAAAGGUACACCCACCUCAAGAUGGGAGGGAGUUUUUAGAUGAGCUUGCAGUCCGGCUGUUUAAGCGGCAGAGAAUUUUGGGUGCUUCCAGAAUUGUAGGAGUGAUGUUGCAAAAGUUUCUGCCUCCUAAAGCCUCUACUUGGGCAAGAGUUGUUCAAGAGCUUUGCAAACCUAAGAAAAUUCAAGCUGCCAUUGACAAGUGUUGGAGCAGCCUAUACUGCUGAUGUCUUAAUUGCAUAAUCCACUUGCCUUCUUGCUGUGAGACUUUACUUCACAAACCAUAUGGAAAUUGUGAAGGAUAUGAAAUUCGAACCGCUGCGUCUUAAGAUCUAGGUUUCAGAGGAGACUAGCAAUAAUCCAAGGAAGGUAAAGUUGGCCAAGUCAAUGACAGGAUCCAAAAAUCUUAGCUUUACUAGAGAUGAUCAGACGAGUAAAUAGUACAGUGCUUGGAAUGAAACUGACAAUUAUUGUUCUUAAAUCAUCUAAAAUAGGCACUUCGAGCAUCCUAAUAUGAAACACAAGUGGAUGUCUUUGCUUCCUUCUUCCAGGUGUUGCACUCAGCUAUUGUGAGUAGAGAUUGUGUAGAUAGGCUUUGGUGGGUAUCUUCCAAGAAAGGUCUGUUCAAGGUCAAGGUUCUUCUUUAGCUUCUUGGCUUGCUCUGAAGGUAGACACUUCCCUUGGAAGAGUGUGUGGCUAACUCAGGCUUCUUUGAGGGCGAUUUUUUUUGCAUGGUCGGUGACCCGAGGCAAGAUCUUUACUGUAGAAUACUCUUUUUAUUUAAUUUGGUAUGCCUUGGGUUAUGCCUAGAAGAGUUAUCGACUUGUUUGCCUGUUGGUGGAAUUUUGGAAGGCUUAGGAGUACUGCGAUGUAGAAGAUAGUGCCAAUUUGCAUUUUUUAGUGUGUUUGGAAAGAAAGAAAUCUUAGAUGUUUUGAGGAUUUGGAGAGUUCCAUGGAAGAUAUUUUAAUUUCGUUUUUUCAUACUUUGUUUCUUUGGACGGUA